UGGUCGGGAUAGCUCAGCUGGUAGAGCAGAGGACUGAAAAUCU
Molecule: transfer RNA, 43 nt
Filed under: Primulina sp. 14 JT-2014
Lineage: Eukaryota; Viridiplantae; Streptophyta; Magnoliopsida; Lamiales; Gesneriaceae
Description: partial tRNA-Phe
Source: RNAcentral